UACGUAGGGUGCGAGCGUUAAUCGGAAUUACUGGGCGUAAAGCGUGCGCAGGCGGUUCGUUAAGUUCGUUGUGAAAGCCCCGGGCUCAACCUGGGAAUGGCAAUGGAAACUGGCGAGCUUGAGUGUGGCAGAGGGGGGUGGAAUUCCGCGUGUAGCAGUGAAAUGCGUAGAGAUGUGGAGGAACACCGAUGGCGAAGGCAGCCCCCUGGGCCAACACUGACGCUCAGGCACGAAAGCGUGGGGAGCAAACAGG
RNAcentral lists this ribosomal RNA (253 nucleotides) under uncultured bacterium. RNAcentral describes it as "partial 16S ribosomal RNA". It matches the Rfam family "Bacterial small subunit ribosomal RNA", at positions 524 to 776 of the family's 1533-position model. The record is from RNAcentral.